RNAcentral lists this ribosomal RNA (482 nucleotides) under uncultured bacterium. Its description in RNAcentral is "partial 16S ribosomal RNA". It matches the Rfam family "Bacterial small subunit ribosomal RNA", at positions 28 to 507 of the family's 1533-position model. The record is from RNAcentral.
GACGAACGCUGGCGGCGUGCUUAACACAUGCAAGUCGAACGCUGAAGCUCAGCUUGCUGGGUGGAUGAGUGGCGAACGGGUGAGUAACACGUGAGUAACCUGCCCUCUUCUUUGGGAUAACGCCCGGAAACGGGUGCUAAUACUGGAUAUUCACUGAUUCUCGCAUGGGGGUUGGUGGAAAGUUUUUUUCUGGUGGGGGAUGGGCUCGCGGCCUAUCAGCUUGUUGGUGGGGUGAUGGCCUACCAAGGCUUUGACGGGUAGCCGGCCUGAGAGGGUGACCGGUCACAUUGGGACUGAGAUACGGCCCAGACUCGUACGGGAGGCAGCAGUGGGGAAUAUUGCACAAUGGGCGAAAGCCUGAUGCAGCGACGCCGCGUGAGGGAUGGAGGCCUUCGGGUUGUAAACCUCUUUCGCUCAUGGUCAAGCCGCAGCUUUGGGUUGUGGUGAGGGUAGUGGGUAAAGAAGCGCCGGCUAACUACGUG